This 253-nucleotide ribosomal RNA is filed under the name uncultured bacterium. RNAcentral's name for it is "partial 16S ribosomal RNA". It matches the Rfam family "Bacterial small subunit ribosomal RNA", at positions 524 to 776 of the family's 1533-position model. The record is from RNAcentral.
UACAGAGGGUGCGAGCGUUAAUCGGAAUUACUGGGCGUAAAGCGUGCGUAGACGGUUAUCUAAGUCGGAUGUGAAAGCCCCGGGCUCAACCUGGGAAUUGCAUUCGAGACUGAAUAGCUAGGGUGCGGUAGAGGGAAGCGGAAUUUCCGGUGUAGCGGUGAAAUGCGUAGAUAUCGGAAGGAACACCAAUGGCGAAGGCAGCCGCCUGGGCCUGAUCUGACACUGAGACACGAAAGCGUGGGGAUCAAACAGG